UAAGUAUAAGCACUUGUACUGUGAAACUGCGAAUGGCUCAUUAAAUCAGUUAUCGUUUAUUUGAUUGUACUUUACUACAUGGAUACCUGUGGUAAUUCUAGAGCUAAUACAUGCGAAAAAUCCCGACUUCUGGAAGGGAUGUAUUUAUUAGAUUAAAAACCAAUGCGAGUCUUCGGACUCGUUUUCUUGGUGAUUCAUGAUAACUUUUCGAAUCGCAUGGCCUAGCGCCGGCGAUAUUUCAUUCAAAUUUCUGCCCUAUCAACUGUCGAUGGUAAGGUAGUGGCUUACCAUGGUUAUAACGGGUGACGGAGAAUUAGGGUUCGAUUCCGGAGAGG
This 335-nucleotide ribosomal RNA is filed under the name Bassia bassensis. RNAcentral's name for it is "SSU rRNA". It matches the Rfam family "Eukaryotic small subunit ribosomal RNA", at positions 60 to 391 of the family's 1831-position model. Lineage: Eukaryota; Metazoa; Cnidaria; Hydrozoa; Siphonophorae; Abylidae. The record is from RNAcentral.